UACGAAGGGGGCGAGCGUUGUUCGGAUUUACUGGGCGUAAAGGGCGCGCAGGCGGCCAUUCAAGUCAGGCGUGGAAGCCCCGGGCUUAACCUGGGAGGUGCGUCUGGGACUGGGUGGCUAGAGAUCGGGAGAGGAGAGUGGAAUUCCCAGUGUAGAGGUGAAAUUCGUAGAUAUUGGGAAGAACACCGGUGGCGAAGGCGGGUCUCUGGGCCGAUACUGACGCUGAGGAGCGAAAGCGUGGGGAGCGAACAGG
Molecule: ribosomal RNA, 253 nt
Filed under: uncultured bacterium
Lineage: Bacteria
Description: partial 16S ribosomal RNA
Rfam family: Bacterial small subunit ribosomal RNA
Source: RNAcentral